GACGAACGCUGGCGGCGUGCCUAAUACAUGCAAGUCGAACGGAAAGGCGCAAUACUCGUGGUGGCGACGGGGGGCGAAAGGGGGUGGAACAUGUGAGUAACCUAGGCAUGACGGUGGGAUAACUUCAGGAAACCGGGGCUAGCACCGGAAAGGGUAACGUGCUGAAUGACGGUGGGUGGAGAGUUCGGGCGGUUGGGGAUGUGGUCGGGGCUUAGCAUCUUGAUGGGGGGGUAGUGGCGUACCAAGGCUUUGAGGGGCAGCCGACCUGAGAGGGUGACCGGCCACCUUGGGACUGAGAUACGGCCCAGACCACUACGCGACGCAGCAGUGGGGAAUAUUGCACAAUGGGCGGACGCCUGCUGCAGCAACCCACCGUGCGGGUUGAAGGCCUUCGGGCUGUAAGCCGCUUUCGUCUGUGACGAAGGGUGAGUGACGGUACUGGUUAAAGCAGCCCCGGCUAACUACGUG
Molecule: ribosomal RNA, 468 nt
Filed under: uncultured bacterium
Lineage: Bacteria
Description: partial 16S ribosomal RNA
Rfam family: Bacterial small subunit ribosomal RNA
Source: RNAcentral